CCUACGGGUGGCAGCAGUGGGGAAUAUUGGACAAUGGGGGGAACCCUGAUCCAGCCAUGCCGCGUGUGUGAAGAAGGCCCUCGGGUUGUAAAGCACUUUCAGUGAGGAAGAACGCCUGGUGGUUAAUACCCAUCAGGAAAGACAUCACUCACAGAAGAAGCACCGGCUAACUCCGUGCCAGCAGCCGCGGUAAUACGGAGGGUGCGAGCGUUAAUCGGAAUUACUGGGCGUAAAGCGCGCGUAGGUGGCUUGAUAAGCCGGUUGUGAAAGCCCCGGGCUCAACCUGGGAACGGCAUCCGGAACUGUCAAGCUAGAGUGUAGGAGAGGAAGGUAGAAUUCCCGGUGUAGCGGUGAAAUGCGUAGAGAUCGGGAGGAAUACCAGUGGCGAAGGCGGCCUUCUGGACUGACACUGACACUGAGGUGCGAAAGCGUGGGUAGCAAACAGGAUUAGAUACCCUGGUAGUC
Molecule: ribosomal RNA, 465 nt
Filed under: Vreelandella stevensii
Lineage: Bacteria; Pseudomonadati; Pseudomonadota; Gammaproteobacteria; Oceanospirillales; Halomonadaceae
Description: partial 16S ribosomal RNA
Rfam family: Bacterial small subunit ribosomal RNA
Source: RNAcentral